AUAAUUACACAGUUAUAUCUUUCAGACAAAGUGAAAAUAAAAUCCUGAAAAAAAACAUAGCUAAUAAACAUUUAUUUGAUGGUAAGUCUCUGAAUUGAGUAUGGCAGGCUUUGUGAGAGCCAUGUUUUCCGCUACCUUUUACUUACUGAUCCUAACCAGCUAUAGACGAACUUCUGAAAAAGUAUUCAAAAGAUAAUGUGUAUUCAUGGUAAACAUAAUUUAAAAAUUAAAGGAGAAUAAAACCUAAAAUGCAAAAUGUCUACUACUGAACUCCUCCUUUAUUCUAGAAUCUCCUACAAAGACAUACAUUUAUGUACUUUCCUCGCAUAUAUUUAGAAUUGAUACUAUAUAUACAUAAAUCUUUUGCUUUAUACAAAUAACUCUGCUUGACCAUAUUGUUUGCAAGAAAUAUAUAGUUUAACCAUAUGCCCAGUAUCAGUACAUAUAGAUUCUUACAUAUUCUUUUAAAUGGAUUUAUGUUAUUCCACUAUAUUCAUACAUUAAAAUUGAUGUAAUCAUUCACUUAGAAAUGGACCUUUCAUUUACCUACAGUUUUUUUAUUACUUUAAUGAUGAAACAAAAAACCUUGAACAAAUAAAUCACUGUAAAUUAUUGGAGUAUAUUAGUAAGAUCUGUUUUAGAAAUAAAAUUGUUAGCAAAUAUUGAUCAUAAAAAAUAAAUUCAUUAAGGAUGUCUACAAAUCAGAUUCCUCAAUCCAGUGUCUGAAAAUGUAUACAAUUGAUAGACAAAAAAUAAUAAAUGCAAAUAAAGAAGAAAUGAGUUCUUAUAAAUAUUGAUGUUAUGGAUUAAAUGUUUGUAUCUCCUACCCAAAUUCAUACAUCAAAGAUCUAAACAACAGGGUGGCUAUAUUUGGAGAUGGAGCCUUUAAGGAAGUAAUUAAGGUUAAAUAAGGUCCUGUUCCAGUAGGACUAGCAUUCUUCUAAGAAGGGACAUUAGAAAACUCACUUGCUCUCUCUCUUCAUGCACACAACAAGGGAAAGGGCACAUAAGGACAUGUGAGAAGGUGGCUCAGAGAAGUCAGAAAGAUUGCCUGCAUCAGAAACUAACCAGCCAAUGGUUUGAUCUCAGACUUCUAGCCUUUAGAACCAUGGGAAAAUUUAUUUCUGUUGUUCAAACCACCUACCAUCAGUAUUUUGCUAUGGGCAGCCCAAGCAGAUGAAGACGAUUGAUAUUGUUGUCACAAUUUUUUCUAUCAAUUAGAUUGAAUAAUUACCUAAAUCAAAAUUGCUGAUGAUAAUCCAGAAACACUAUUAUACCUUCAAACUGGCUAGAUAUAACUUAACAGCCAAUUCAGUAAAAACUACACAUAUGAUAUACAAAUAUCAUAUAUAUGUAUAUCUAUGUAUACAUAUAUAUGUAUAAUGUCUAUAUAUGUAUCAUGUCUAUACCCACAUACAAAGAUAACAUAAAUGGUAGAAAACAAAUCUAUGUUUCAGGAAAUGUAAUUCACAACAUAUGAUUCAUUUUCUUUCUGAGAAAACAUUUGUCUUUUGACCAAAAUCUUCAUAUUCAAAAGUAUUUAUAAAAAACUCAGAAAUGACAGAGUUCCCAUUGUAGCUCAGCAGGUAAAGAACUUGACUAGCAUCCAUGAGGAUGCGGACUUGAUCCCUGGCCUUGUUCAGUGGGUUAAGGAUCCUGCAUUGCUGUAAACUGGGGCAUAAGUUGCAGAUGCAGCUAGGAUCCCAUACUGCUUUGACUGGGAUGUAGGCCAGCAGCUGCAACUCUGAUUUGAUACCUAGCCUGGGGAAGAAAGCUCUGAUUUGACCCCUAGUCUUUCUUUAAAAAAUGAAAAAAAAAAAAACCUAAGAAAUGAGUUUUUUCAAAAUUUGAAAUAUAAUAAUUGAAAAUAACACCAUAGAAUAAAGGAAGAAUCAUUGAAUGCAUAUAUUUCUAUAGUCAAUCAAUCGCUAUUUCAUUGAAUUCUAUUGAAAAGAAAGUUAUUAUUUCAGUAUCUGUAUAGAAAUCAUUGCUUACACAACACUUAACAUUUUGGAAGUAAAUUUCAUGUAUCUAUUUAUUAUAUCUCUAUGAUUCUACAUCCCUCCCAAAUAAUAAUCACAUGUUGGGAGAAAGAUGAUAGAAGUAUUAUUAUUGAAACUUUACAGAUGUGGAGACUCAAGUUCACAGAAAUUAGCAUAAAGACAUGAACCAAGAUUUAAUGAGUAUCAAAGCUAGUAUUCUUUCAUUUGCAAUGCACUCUGUCCUUUCAUACACCUUUAUAUACGUGUUCAACACACUUUAAUACAUGUCCAUUCUAUGUUAACACUAUGUGAGAAACUGAGGGAAGAACACAGUGGUGUGGCAUCAGACAAGUAAAUGGAUAAGCAGGGUAAUUAAUGCUCUGAUAGGAGUAGGCCCUGGGAGCAUGAUAAUAGACAGCUGAUAGUCUGGAGAAUAUCACAGAAGGUUCCCAGAGAAGGUGAUUCUAGGACUACUAUUAAAGUAGACAUGAGAAUUAUCCAGAUAAACAAGGACCAUUUUAGAUAAGGACCAUUUUAGCCUUCAAUUUUCAGUAAUAUAGAAAAUGUUGGGGAACUUCCCAUCAUUGCUCAGUGGUUAACCAACCUGACCAGCAUUCAUGAGGAUGCGGGUUCGAUCCCUGGCCUCACACAGUGAAUUGAGGAUCCUGUGUUGCUGUGGCUGUGGUAUAGGCCAGCAGGUACAGCUCCGAUUGGACCCCUAGCCUGGGAACCUCCAUAUACCACAGGUGCGGCCCUAGAAAGACAAAAGACAAUAGACAAAAAAAAAAAAAGAAAAAGAAAAGAAAAUGUCGGCUAGCUUGCUGCUCCAAAGCCCUCCUCUCCAUGAGAAGGUAAGUGUAUAGCUAAAUAGUUGUGCUUGCAUAUUAACUACAUUAAUAUUGACAUACUUGCAUUUAUGUUAACUUCUAUAUCUAUAUACACAUAUGUAUAUACAUUUGAAUCCAUUUCUAAAUCCAUAAAUACUGAGAUCCGGGAGUUCACACCCUACUUUGAAUCACAUCACAGAGUUUAUUCUAGGUUUGUCCCUUUCCAUAAUUGUAACUUUCUUCUCUGAGAGUGACAAACUGAGGUCCCAUUAAUUCUUAAUUUAUUAACACGUUGGAUUCAUCCUCUGUACUAGCCAACCUUUCGUUACCAUAGCUGCACAGCCCCUCUGUGGACACUUUGGUUAUCAACUCUUGCACCAGGAUCAACACCAUCUUCACUGCAUUCAGGUUUUAAUACACCAUACUAAUUUACCCCACAGUCUACCUGGGCUCUUGAAGCAAGCCAUCCCUCCACAGGGGUGUCUCACACAAGACCUCCCCACCCCUCCACAGGGCUGACUGCCUCAUUCAGCUUCCCCUCAACAUCCUUCACCAAGCCACCACAACACACUUGCAGGUGAGUUCACACCUGGCUGCUCACUGCACUACCCCUACCCCCUAACCUUCCCCAAAGAGCUAAGAACUGAAUUAUUCAGGAAGAGAAAGAGGGCGGGAAAGGGGAGAAGAAAGGGGAAGAGAGAGUCACAAAUCAUAAGAACACAGCUUUCUCUUUUUCCCACUGCAAAAUCAAAAGCAGUGAUUCUCAAAAAGGAAACACCACAGAUUUUGUGGUUUGAAAUGCAUAGCCAAUAUAUAAUUCGGUAUUUGGAAUAGGAAACAAAUGUAUUGUUUUCAUAAUACAAGCUACUCAUAAUAAGCCAUGCAAAAUCUUUGUGGAUAAAGAUAGGAUCCUGUGGUGAGGGGAAAAGGAAGUAAGAUUUUGUAUUUAUCGAAAUGAAGCAUAGGUUUAAAAAUAUUGCUGUAGAGGACAGGCAUUUGGGAUUUAAGGAAUACCAGUUAUAUUGGCUUUAUUCUAGUCAAUAUUUAUUAGCAUUGCAGGAUAUAAGAUAGAAGACACUCAAAUAAUUCAACACCAGGAAAUCCUUAGUUCCCUUAAAUUCUAGUUCAUUAUAUGUAUAUAUAAUGUUGAAUAAUAUUAUGCCUGACAUUUAAUAUCACUAUAUAUGAUAUUUAAUAUCUUUUAUAUGUGAUGUUUAAUAUCAUUAUAUAUAGUGGUUAAUACCAUUAUGUAUAGAAUGUUUAAUAUCAUAAAACCUCCUUUAUAAUGAAGGUAUUAGGACACUUGCAUGAAAAUCUGUGAUUGGCUAACUAGAGAAUCAUUUUCUUGUUACUGUUUUAUUUUUUAUUGCAUAUAAAAUAUUCGAUCAAAUCAGAAAAAGUGGGAAGCUAUAAUGUCUCCAUUAUUAAUGUGGUUCUUAUAAUGGAGUAAUGUGAUGAAGGGUUAAUUCUGUAUAUUAUUUUCACUUCUCCUCCUUUUGGGCCACUUGAUCAUGGCUAUUUCCAUACCUAUAAAAAACUACUACAGAAAGGCCACAUUAUAAUGUCCUGCUUCAAUCAAGAAAUAAUUUUAAAAACACUUUAAGAGCUACAAAAUGACUUUUGAAUCAUCAAUUUCAAGAAUUUACUUUAAAGAAUGUUUUCUAAGGAAAUCAGAACAUAUUCAAUAGUAAUAAAAAUAACUAUACUAUAUAUGAUUUUAAAAAUGGGAGCCACCUAAUGUUCAACAAUACAGGACUAGAUGAAUAAUUUUUUACAGUCAUAAAAUAGGAUGAUAAUUUUCAAAACUAUUUUAAAUAGAUAUUGAUAACAAAAUAACUGUUUUAUAUGUUUCUGAGUAAAAACCCAGUAUAUAGACAUGAACAUUUUUAUAUUAAAAACAAAUAAUAUGCACAUAUAUCUGUGCAUAUGCACACAGAGAAAGGUCUGAUUGGGUAUAAAUUAAAAUACCAUAUGUAAUGGGGUUUUAAUUGGUUUUAUUUUUAUUUUUAUUGUUUUCUCCCAAACUAUCCUUUUGCUCAUUUUUUUCUCCAUUCCUUCCAUUCUGUCUUUUUCCAGGCUCAAAGAGAAAAUGUCACCUUUUUCCUUGAAAUAGAGAUUGUAUAUCAAUAUCUUAAUAUACUUUCUAGCUGAGUGCACAUAUCCCAUCUCUUCUUAUUUGUAAUAAUCCAAAAAGGCACCUGAAAAAACAUCCUGGAACACCUGCAGUUAUACCUUGAAUGAUUUAAGCCUUACAAAACAUGAAAUUAAACUUGGCAUGAAGCAAAUUUUUUAAAUUUGACCUUUAAAAAUAAAAAAAUUUAGUUAACAAAGAAAGAAACUUUAUCAUUGAGCACAUAUGAAAAUUCUCUGCCCAAGAAACUGUGGAUUGCAUUACUUUGAACUGUAGGUACACAGUGGAUGAUUUAGAAAAUCAACAUCUCUCUUCAGCCAUUGUAUUAAAACCAAGGAAAUAAAAUCUCUAUAUCCUGAUUUCUAGCAUAAAAAUUUCUGAUUACUAGAAAAACUUUAUUCUACCUAGCUACUUCAAUUUGAAACAAAGUGAAUUAGACUACAUCUGUUUCUAAAUUGACUUUGUGUGAUCAAGUAGAUUAAUUUGAAAUGUUAAUCUAAUGAUUACUGAGAAGGAGGAUGAUUACAAACCACAGGAAAAUAGUCUUUUACUUUAAUGUUUCUUGUAAGCACAGAGAAUUUCAAAACCAGUAGCUACUUUACCAUUUAAUUUCUAUAAAUUGGUUUGAGUGUUUGUGUUGGAAACAAUAACGCAUUAUCAAGAGGAGUUAAGGAUGCUACAGUAGCUUACAAAUCAAGUGUGACUUUAGGAGAAGCAGCUCUAUACUCUUUCUGUUGAUCCAGAGUACUAAGCUGCUGAAAAGGAUGAGCGCAAUAUUGGUAUUGUUUACAUUCUUCUCUUGCUCUAAAUUUGGAAAACAGUCAAUAAACAUCAGCUGAGAUUUAAAGAGUUAUUUUCUCUAAUGCAUAUUAUAUUUCUUUGCAUUUUGUUUUUGAAAUAAGCAUUUGCCUAAUUAUUACUCUUGGAUCAUGGUAAGAUCAGUUUUGUGAUAUCAUGGACUACAAUCACAAAAUUUUUUGGUAGGAUGCUAUGCAUCUCUCUAACGUGGAACCACGAGGUCUACUUGUGAAAAGCUGCCCUUGCCCCUACUAUAAUCUGAGGCUGAGAUUGCUCCACUGUCUGUGAUACCGCAGUUUAUCUUCUAUGAGCUUUUAAGACCCACCCCACCCCCAACUGCAGAGGAUACAAGAGCCUUUUUCAACUUCCCUCCACUGUUACCUACAGCAGUUUGAUUUCUGCAGAUUCAGACACAAAUGCAGGUAUUGCUGCUUCUGCUGCUGAUAAUGACCAACAUUACCUUGUGCAGCAUUAGGUACAAAAGUGGCAAUAAACUAAAUCAGUCCAAUUCCAUCAUUUCUAUGAUACUUAAAAGAGAGACAUAAAGGUCCUGUGCUCUUCAGGUUAGGGAAACAUAGAAAUUCAUGUUCUACAUUUAUUAGUAGGAGGGGUCUUUUUUAUUAACGCUGUAGUUGAAAAUGUGAAUUUGUGUAUUUAAUAAGACAUGAUUGAGUUUGUAUGAAAACUAGUCAAAUGUAAUAGUUUGUAGUAUAAUGAGAGACCCUUCAUAUGAAUUGCUAGUUUUAGGCUAUUUUUAACAUAAAAAAUGAAUUUCAUUUCAUUCAUGUUCUUAUUAU
RNAcentral lists this long non-coding RNA (6535 nucleotides) under Sus scrofa (pig). Its description in RNAcentral is "lncRNA (ENSSSCG00000041759.2)". The record is from RNAcentral. Lineage: Eukaryota; Metazoa; Chordata; Mammalia; Artiodactyla; Suidae.